GUCUAUUUGGUAUUUAAUAUAAAGUCUAACCUGCCCACUGAUAAUUUUCAUUAAAGGGCCGCAGUAUUUUGACUGUGCAAAGGUAGCAUAAUCAUUAGUCUUUUAAUUGAAGGCUGGUAUGAAUGGUUGGACGAGAUACAUGCUGUGUCAUAAAAAUUAAUAAUUGAAUUUAACUUUUUAGUCAAAAGGCUAAAAUAAAAUUAAAAGACGAGAAGACCCCAUAGAGCUUUAUAUAAUAGAUUAUUAGAUUAUUUAGAUUUAUAAAAUUUAAUGAUUGGGCUAUAUUUUGUUGGGGUGACAAUAAAAUUUAUAAAACUUUUAUUUUUUAUUAACAUUAAUUUAUGAAUAAAUGAUCCAGUUUUAUUGAUUAUAAAAUUAAGUUACCUUGGGGAUAACAGCGUUAUUUUUUUUGAGAGUUCAUAUCGACAAAAAAGAUUGCGACCUCGAUGUUGGAUUAAGAGUAAUUUUGGGUGUAGCAGUUCAAAGUUUAAGUCUGUUCGACUUUUAAAUUCUUACAU
This 518-nucleotide ribosomal RNA is filed under the name Austrosimulium bancrofti. RNAcentral describes it as "partial 16S ribosomal RNA". It matches the Rfam family "Bacterial large subunit ribosomal RNA", at positions 1825 to 2601 of the family's 2925-position model. The record is from RNAcentral. Lineage: Eukaryota; Metazoa; Arthropoda; Insecta; Diptera; Simuliidae.